This 72-nucleotide transfer RNA is filed under the name Ictidomys tridecemlineatus (thirteen-lined ground squirrel). RNAcentral's name for it is "Spermophilus tridecemlineatus (thirteen-lined ground squirrel) tRNA". It matches the Rfam family "tRNA". From Rfam's summary of the family: Transfer RNA (tRNA) molecules are approximately 80 nucleotides in length. Their secondary structure includes four short double-helical elements and three loops (D, anti-codon, and T loops). The record is from Rfam by way of RNAcentral. Lineage: Eukaryota; Metazoa; Chordata; Mammalia; Rodentia; Sciuridae.
UUGGGUGUAGCUCAGUGUUAGAGUACUUGCCUAACAUGUGCAAGGCCCUGGGUUCAAUCCCCAGCACCACAA